CAACCUAUAGAACAGCUGGGGACGCUGUAAAGGUAUUUUGCCUCUGGAGUGCUGACAAGAGAUUAUAAAGACAGAGAGCACACAGAAUUAUGUCUGGAGCUGUGCAGGGAGCAGUGCGCGUCGCUGCCAGCCUUCAGGGCACCCGCAGGGCUGCUCCUCACCUGGCAGGUCAGGCUGCAGAACAAGUGUCAGUGAGUCAGGCUCCAUUUCCUGCUUUAUUAGCAUAAAUAAAGUUCAGGAAUCUCACCUCACAUCUUCCGAGCACAAGGAGCUUCACAAGGAGCUUCGAUGCUUUCCAAAGGACUCUCUUCUCUGGAAUUCAGUGGGUUUGAACGAAGCCACACUAUCCUCCAUGCAUGCUGUAAAGCUCAGCCAGACCCAUCAAGAGCAGUGCCCUGAGCUUCCCCUGGAGAUGAGCUUCCUCUUGGUUUAACAGCCUGAGCACAGCUCCUGGGGACGCAAGAGCCUGGAUGCCUACAAGGAAUCUCACUGACAACACAGAAGAUGCUUUUCCCACCAGCACAUCACUUCCAUCCAUUUUAUUUCCUGGCAGAUAAAGAGAGAAACACUUCGUUCUUCACCUCAUUCCUGAAAUAAAUUAACAGAUGCCGAGGCACAGAAGCAAGGUCAAAGCAAACAAGCACAAACUGGCUUGUCAGGAGUAAAUAGAGAUGAAAAUGAAGGCAGGCCUCCUGGCUCUCGAUCUAGUACUCUCAUUAUGGUCUCUACUGCCUUAGGAAAUGGAAAGCAAGCCCACUGCUCAAAAAAGGGAAGAUCCCUAAGGAUGCAGAAGAAACAAUGCAAUUAAAAAGAAAACAGAAAACAUAGAAACCUAUGGCACUUUGAUGUCCUAAGAGCCAAGGCCGGGCUCAGAAGUGGAGUUAAAGGUGUGCAGCAGCUCACCGUGGGAAGCGGAGCAUCUGAAAAGAGAGAGCAAAAUGCAGUGUGGAGAAUUCUUGGCAAACCACGCCGGCAAGCUGCAGUCUGAACCACUUAAGACCCAGCAGUUUUGUUGAUGCUCGUGCUCAAGGACUGGCAGCGGGAGUGAAUAAUGGCACUCAGAGCAGCUGCUCUGUGCCUGACAUGUUGAACCAGGGUGGAAAUCCCACCAUCUGACUUGGGGGGAUAACGUUAAAUCCAUUACAGCAGUCUGUCUUCCACUGCUCAUCCCACACAAGCUUCAGAAGUUCUGCUUUAUGCCUGGCUGCGACAUGAUCAUUGCAGGCUGUCUCCGGAGGGAUAAUCCUAAAUUUUAAGUGACAGUUCACGGGCAUCUUCUCUUUCUUCUGAACUGCUGUCUUACCCAGCACAUUGAUUGUUUUGGAGAUUAAUAAUCGGAGCAAAGAGUUCUAACGUGGGUGUCCUAGAGGAGAUUUAGCAAAGAACGGUUUGUGUUUGAAGUUGUCAUGGCACAGGAAACAUAAGAAGCCUUGAAGACCAAAAGCAAGUCCUGCACACAGCCCAAGCAGAAAUCUGGGACGUGGGACAUGUGACCUGUGUUUAGUCUCCAGGGCUCCUCACUGACGUGGUGUUUCCACUCCGAGCAGAUCUUAGGGACCCUGUGAAAGGUG
RNAcentral lists this long non-coding RNA (1571 nucleotides) under Gallus gallus (chicken). RNAcentral's name for it is "long non-coding RNA NONGGAT004704". The record is from RNAcentral. Lineage: Eukaryota; Metazoa; Chordata; Aves; Galliformes; Phasianidae.